RNAcentral lists this long non-coding RNA (1428 nucleotides) under Ursus thibetanus thibetanus. RNAcentral's name for it is "lncRNA (ENSUTTG00000018175.1)". Lineage: Eukaryota; Metazoa; Chordata; Mammalia; Carnivora; Ursidae. The record is from RNAcentral.
AUGAUUAACUCGGGCCGCGGCGCGUUCUCAUGGCAACCGGCUCCUGCCCAGGCGGGGGGUCGGUGGCGCGCCCGCGCUCCCGCGCACUCUCCCGCGCGCUCACACUCACACGCGGGGCCGCCCACUCUGCGGCCUCCCCGCUCCGCACAGAUGUUCCCGCUGGGACCCGGGACCGGGGGCCCACGCCCCACACACGCUAGUGCACACGUGCUCGCACACCCACUGGUGCACACACAGCGUCAUACAUGCUCAUUUUUCGUGUAUGGGCUCUCGCAGGCCAGUACACACGUCCCUCACACAUGCCUUCACACAUGCUCUAGUCCGCACACACGAACACAUCCAGUGUUCACACACGUGCUUUUGCUCUUUACACUCCCAGGCGCACAUCCGCUAACCCUCGUACCGAACUUUCACACACGCUCGUUACUCCUCACACACGCUUCUCCCAUGCUGUCCUUCACACGCUCUCACACACCAGCUCGUUUUCUUGACCAUCUAACACACGCUUUCACACACACUCUCUAUAUACAGAUAACAUGUAUACACUUCCACAUUCUCACACACUUUACACAGGCACUCACGGUAUCGUCAGGCGCUCUCACACGUGCUUCCCCACACACGGUCCACGUGCAAUGGCUCCCAUGCACCUUGGGGCAUACAUACACUUGCUCUCCCUCACACACGUUCUCGCACACACUCCACACCUCGUUCUCUGACACUCUAGUAUACACAUCCUUUGAAACCCAAGUCCACACUCUCACUCACGCGCUCUCACACUCCAGGUAUCAUGUACACACACACGUGUGUCACACGUUAUCACUAUGUUUACACACACACAUGCUCUCACUAGCUCUAGUAGGAAUACACAGGCCGGGUUGCCUCCCCAGCCACGGCACCACCCCCGGAAUUUGCAUCUUCCAGGGCUUAGGGUUUUUUAAGGUAAAAUACUCCUUCAAGCUCCAGUGCAACAAGCGCAGAGUGCAACUGCUCAGGAGCAGGCAGCAGCUCCCGGCACAGCCCAAAGUCCCUCCUGGGGGGACGUCUCAGAAGAGGCACAGGGGAGGCCAGGGAGCCGGCGGCCAAGGAGAGACAGCUGACCCAGAGGAGCCACUCUGUUCUUUGUCUCCCAAACAGAGGCGGCAUUUUACUCCAGAGCCGGCAGCCAUCGUCCCCUCCAGGCUGCAGGAGGACAAGAAGGAAGCUCAGAAGCCCGCCCAGUGCAGGCUGAUGGCUCCGCAGACAGUCCGAGAAGGGUGGGCACUUGACUCUUCCCCAGAGGUGCAAGGAGGGGACUGCAGGGGGACAUGCAGAUCAACAAAGUUUCUAUCUCCUGUCUCGGCCCAGGCACUAGGCCAAGGUCCUGGGCCUCUCAUUGUUCUGGAUGCCAGAACAGGACACUCCACAAGCCCCCGGCUGGAAGUGGGCUAA